GUGUUCUUCUUUGGGUACUGGUAUCGCCACAGGCGCGCCUGAGUACCCGCAGGCGCCCGGAUUCGAGGGUCGCCACCAUGUUCAUAUAAACCCCGGUCGGCAACCCGACCGGGGU
RNAcentral lists this small RNA (115 nucleotides) under Halopseudomonas yangmingensis. The record is from RNAcentral. Lineage: Bacteria; Pseudomonadati; Pseudomonadota; Gammaproteobacteria; Pseudomonadales; Pseudomonadaceae.